GAUGAACGCUGGCGGCGUGCUUAACACAUGCAAGUCGAACGAGGAGACGAAGAGGAAGCUUUCGGGUGGACUUUUUGUUUCCGAGUGGCGGACGGGUGAGUAACGCGUGGGCAACCUGCCUCAUAUCGGGGGAUAACAGCUGGAAACGGCUGUUAAUACCGCAUGAGACCACGGCACCGCAUGGUGCAGGGGUCAAAGCCUUCGGGUGAUAUGAGAUGGGCCCGCGUUCGAUUAGCCAGUUGGCGGGGUAACGGCCCACCAAAGCAGCGAUCGAUAGCCGAUCUGAGAGGACGAGCGGCCACAUUGGGACUGAGACACGGCCCAAACUCC
Molecule: ribosomal RNA, 330 nt
Filed under: uncultured Moryella sp.
Lineage: Bacteria; Bacillati; Bacillota; Clostridia; Lachnospirales; Lachnospiraceae
Description: bacterial SSU rRNA
Rfam family: Bacterial small subunit ribosomal RNA
Source: RNAcentral